This 253-nucleotide ribosomal RNA is filed under the name uncultured bacterium. RNAcentral's name for it is "partial 16S ribosomal RNA". It matches the Rfam family "Bacterial small subunit ribosomal RNA", at positions 524 to 776 of the family's 1533-position model. The record is from RNAcentral.
UACGUAGGUGGCAAGCGUUGUCCGGAUUUACUGGGCGUAAAGAGCGCGCAGGCGGUCGUUCAAGUCGCGUGUGAAAGCCCCCGGCUCAACUGGGGAGGGUCACGCGAUACUGAUCGACUCGAAGGCAGGAGAGGGAAGUGGAAUUCCCGGUGUAGCGGUGAAAUGCGCAGAUAUCAGGAAGAACACCCGUGGCUAAGGCGGCUCUCUAGUACGGUACUGACGCUGAGACGCGAAAGCGUGGGGAGCGAACAGG